AUUGAACGCUGGCGGCAGGCUUAACACAUGCAAGUCGAACGAGCGGCGGACGGGUGAGUAAUGUCUGGGAAACUGCCUGAUGGAGGGGGAUAACUACUGGAAACGGUAGCUAAUACCGCAUACCAUCAGAUGUGCCCAGAUGGGAUUAGCUAGUAGGUGGGGUAAUGGCUCACCUAGGCGACGAUCCCUAGCUGGUCUGAGAGGAUGACCAGGCACACUGGAACUGAGAAACGGUCCAGACUCCUUAGGGGGGCAGCAGGGGGGAAUAUUGCAAAAUGGGCGGAAGGCUGAUGCAGGCCUGCCGGGUGGGUGAAGAAGGCCUUCGGGGUGGAAAGCACUUUCAGCGAGGAGGAGGUUAUCGCAGAAGAAGCACCGGCUAAAUCCGUGGCAGCCGCCGCGGUUAUAU
This 406-nucleotide ribosomal RNA is filed under the name uncultured bacterium. RNAcentral's name for it is "partial 16S ribosomal RNA". It matches the Rfam family "Bacterial small subunit ribosomal RNA", at positions 29 to 526 of the family's 1533-position model. The record is from RNAcentral.